This is a long non-coding RNA of Andrographis paniculata, 1836 nucleotides long. RefSeq lists it as uncharacterized. The record is from RefSeq and is a predicted model, not a curated record. The transcript has 5 exons. NCBI's taxonomy places the organism in Eukaryota, Viridiplantae, Streptophyta, Magnoliopsida, Lamiales, Acanthaceae.
AAAUCAAAAAGAAAAGAUCCUUUCUGUCAUUCGUAUGCAAUGCGUUAUUGCUUAUGCAAGCGAGGGCUUAAUCGUGGAUGAAUCUCGUCUGGUUAUUUGCCACAAUUCAACUCCGUAAUAGAUUUACCGCAUCAUCGAUAAACCAAGGUUGCAGUCCAGGCUGAAGAUUGCAGUGCCUUUCAGGCUGGAAAUUGUUCGGAGUUUCGUCUGAUUUGAGUUGUGGCAGUGGUUAAUUUGAUCGAUGCGUCGCCGGUGGCAAUGUGGAAUUGGGGAAUGAGAUAAUGCUUUGAACGUUUUGAAUUAGGGUUGACCUGCUGCUUUAGAUCAUUUUUUUGCCCUUGGAGUUUUUGGCUCGAGGAAUGAAUUGGUUGAUUUUUACCACAAAGCUAUGUAAGGAAAUGUUUUUUGGCGUACUCUUGUUAGUUUGCAUAUUUUGUUGGGGAAUUUAUGUUUGAUAAUGUGGAAUCAAUUGAGUGGAAGUUUAUUGUUGUUUUGCUAGACGGCUAAUAUCCAGCAUUUGUGUGACCGCAGAUCUGCAUGAUUUUGUGCCGUGGGUUUAAAUAAUGUACUCUGUUCUGUGGUAUACAUGUGAUUUUGUAUCUACGUGUUUAUUUGAUGCCUUGUUCGGCAUGUAUUAAUUAAUUUCCAAAACAGUGGUAGCAAACAGUGGACUUGAAGAUUCCAUUUACAGCCUUAUUAUUCCGUUGGCGAAGUUGAGUAUCUAAUGAAUCACAACUGGGACAUUUCGACAGACUUGGUGGUUUUUUUUUAUUUUGGGGUUCACUUUUUCCAUUUUUCUAUGCAUCUUUGUAUAUCUUCUGCAUGUAUGGGUUAUCUGUUGUGGUUUACAAUAUUCAUUAGUGAUCAUAUAUAUGAUACUACAAAUUAAUGCAUUAUUGUGAAGACUUGAAUUUAUGCAAUCUAGGGAUUCCAUUGACAGAAAACUGGAUUCAGAGCUGGGUAUUUACAAUGGGGUUUUUUCCCUUUUCUUGUAUGUUAUUAAAACAGAAUACAUCUAUACCUGCUCAUUUCUGCCUUACCCAUAAUUUUUCUACAAUUUCAUUUAUCAUGUGGUUUGCAACAGCAUACUGGUGGCCAUCUUGAUCUGCACCAUGGCAUAACCAUCUGCAUUGUUAAAUCUUGGUUCUCAAAACAUGAAUGCUGCAUUAUUUCCAUGGGAAUGGCUAAGGAGUGUGCAGUAAAUGAACUGCAGAAAGUGAAUGGUUUGGAAGCGUGCCUAACAUAACAGCGGUUGCGAUCAAAAUUUUGCUCAUGUCGUGUGUUCUUGAUAUUUAUGAACAAGGUGUAAGACCUUUUGUUGAUAAAGUGCAUUUGUACAUGAUUGUGAAUGAAACAAUAUUCGUGGUAUGCCAUCAUUCAACUCCUCCUAUGAUAGACCACAAUGUUGGCACCUCUUUUGUGAUUCCAUGGGUAGGACUGAAUAGUUGUGGCAGAUCCGAGAGGUGGAUAGUUAAUUUUUAUUAGCUAUGUUUAAUUGUUUUUCCUUGCAGUUUGAUAGAAAUACAUUUAGUGAACAGAUAGACAAGAACAGAGUGCUUCCAUUAAGCAGAUCCUUAAAGAUUUGGCGUUCAAUAUCCAACACCAAAGCUGGAAACUCACUACUGCAGUCUGCCCAAUCAUCAAACUGAUAAAGGAUAUCACCAUUUAAGAGUCUUGCCACGGCCUUUUUUGCACUGUCAGGAUUGCAAACUGCUGCAUGUUAUCAUUCAUCAAACCCAUCUGUUCAAGAGCAUGGAAGAUAUCAGGAUUUAUCAAAUGGCAUGAGGGAAGGAGAUGAUCAGUGGUUGAGAAGAAUGCUGAUUCUUUAAGAAGUCC